RNAcentral lists this ribosomal RNA (468 nucleotides) under uncultured bacterium. RNAcentral describes it as "partial 16S ribosomal RNA". It matches the Rfam family "Bacterial small subunit ribosomal RNA", at positions 28 to 507 of the family's 1533-position model. The record is from RNAcentral.
GACGAACGCUGGCGGCGUGCUUAACACAUGCAAGUCGAACGGAAAGGCCCUGCUUUUGUGGGGUGCUCGAGUGGCGAACGGGUGAGUAACACGUGAGUAACCUGCCCUUGACUUUGGGAUAACUUCAGGAAACUGGGGCUAAUACCGGAUAGGAGCUCCUGCUGCAUGGUGGGGGUUGGAAAGUUUCGGCGGUUGGGGAUGGACUCGCGGCUUAUCAGCUUGUUGGUGGGGUAGUGGCUUACCAAGGCUUUGACGGGUAGCCGGCCUGAGAGGGUGACCGGCCACAAUGGGACUGAGAUACGGACCGGACUGCUACGGGAGGCAGCAGUGGGGAAUAUUGCACAAUGGGCGGAGGCCUGAUGCAGCAACGCCGCGUGGGGGAUGACGGCCUGCGGGUUGUAAACCGCUUUCGCCUGGGAAGAAGCGUGAGUGACGGUAAUGGGUAAAGAAGCACCGGCUAACUACGUG